RNAcentral lists this ribosomal RNA (805 nucleotides) under uncultured bacterium. Its description in RNAcentral is "bacterial SSU rRNA". It matches the Rfam family "Bacterial small subunit ribosomal RNA", at positions 1 to 856 of the family's 1533-position model. The record is from RNAcentral.
CCUUAGAGUUUGAUCCUGGCUCAGAACGAACGCUGGCGGCAGGCUUAACACAUGCAAGUCGAACGCCCCUUUCGGGGGGAGUGGCAGACGGGUGAGUAACACGUGGGAACGUACCUCUUUGUUCGGAAUAACUCAUGGAAACGUGAGCUAAUACCGGAUACGCCCUUUUGGGGAAAGAUUUAUCGCAGAGAGAUCGGCCCGCGUCUGAUUAGCUAGUUGGUGAGGUAAUGGCUCACCAAGGCGACGAUCAGUAGCUGGUCUGAGAGGAUGAUCAGCCACACUGGGACUGAGACACGGCCCAGACUCCUACGGGAGGCAGCAGUGGGGAAUAUUGGACAAUGGGGGCAACCCUGAUCCAGCCAUGCCGCGUGAGUGAUGAAGGCCUUAGGGUUGUAAAGCUCUUCUAUCCGGGAAGAUAAUGACUGUACCGGAAGAAUAAGCCCCGGCUAACUUCGUGCCAGCAGCCGCGGUAAUACGAAGGGGGCUAGCGUUGUUCGGAAUCACUGGGCGUAAAGGGCGCGUAGGCGGACGAUUAAGUCAGGGGUGAAAUCCCGGGGCUCAACCUCGGAAUUGCCCUUGAUACUGGUUGUCUUGAGAUUGGAAGAGGUAAGUGGAAUUGCGAGUGUAGAGGUGAAAUUCGUAGAUAUUCGCAAGAACACCGGUGGCGAAGGCGACUUACUGGUCCAUAUCUGACGCUGAGGCGCGAAAGCGUGGGGAGCAAAAAGGAUUAGAUACCCUGGUAGUCCACGCCGUAAACGAUGGAUGCCAGCUGUUGGGGAGCAUGCUCUUCCGUGGCGCAGUCAAC